AAAACUUCUCUAGCAGAGUUCAGCACUGUCUUUCUUCUCUACAAUCCUGACCCUGGGUAUGCUCAGAGAAAGGCAAGGGUCAGUUCCCCCGGACAAGGAGUGGAGGUGGGCCAAGGAGUCAUGAUGGAAUAGAUAUAUCUCUUUGAUGGUUCAUUUCAACUAUCCAUUAAAUACACUGCUUCUCCUUUCCUUUCAGCUGAAUUGAAGUGCCUGGCAUAGUUAACUUGAGGAUGAUAGGUUUAAUACCUAGCUUAAGAACUGAUUGACUGAUUUGACUGAUUGGGGAGGUUGCACAGCCUCUGAGAUGAUCUUGGUCUGGCAACAAUUACUAGCUUGUUUUACAUUUUUACACCUCUUCCUGAUGUGUGGUAAUACACCUUGUCCACUGACAAAGUCAUGCUAAUCCUCUACCAAAGUAUACUGAACACCCCACUCUUACAAAUUCCCUUUCCCCACUCUCCCCAUCAAUGACAUCAAUUAAAACUCUGUAAUCAGAGUUUAAGGGCUCGUGUCCAUCAAAAAACUUAGACGUCCCUUUCUAUCAACAUUUAUCCCAUGAGAUACCUAGUUUAGAUGGUACACAAUACGUAGGAAUGGGUAUAUUUGGAAUACAUGCCUACUCUGAUACAUGCCUGUGACAGUUUGACUUAUUGUUAAUUAAAUAUUUACUUUCCCCCUCCCACUGUGGACAAAGUAUAAAUAAAUUUAUAAAUUUCA
Erinaceus europaeus (western European hedgehog) is the source of this 717-nucleotide long non-coding RNA. RefSeq lists it as uncharacterized. The record is from RefSeq and is a predicted model, not a curated record. Lineage: Eukaryota; Metazoa; Chordata; Mammalia; Eulipotyphla; Erinaceidae. The transcript is spliced from 2 exons.